This 553-nucleotide long non-coding RNA is filed under the name Homo sapiens (human). RNAcentral describes it as "HSALNT0222824". Lineage: Eukaryota; Metazoa; Chordata; Mammalia; Primates; Hominidae. The record is from RNAcentral.
AGUCGGGCCUGGCACAGAAGUCAUGGAUGGCUGGGUACCAUCCCUCUCCAGUGUUGCAGAAAUCCUGUCUCAGGGACAGAGCUUGUGAGGCUAUGGCCUGGCUAGAUGCUCUGGCAUCGUUUCCCUCCAUCCUCCACCAGAAUUUAUGCCACAGCUUGUGCCCAUUCAUUUCUGUCCCCUCCCGCUGCCCUCCCUGUGUGGGUGGGGGUUUGGGCAGCCCAUGGUAAUAAGCAUGGAGCAGGGGUUGUCUGUGAUGUCAUUCUUGCUCAGAACGAAGCAUUCCAGCAUGGACAGCACUUGUCCUGGCUCCCCUGCUAUAUAGAACUCACUGUUCCCCACCCUAGACCCUUACCCUCACCCCUUGCCAGGCCAGCAUUCUGCAAUAUGAUUUCCAGGAGCUUCCAGAAUGCUGGCUUGUUACAGCUGCUGCCCUGCUCUUAGUGACCAGCAUCUCCUUCGAGCAGUCCUCUGUGUCACCAGCACUGACAGAAUUCUCCUAUUGCCCACUGGUGCCCCGAAGCUUGGCACACCAGCCAUUCUGCUCUUGCUGCUG